Molecule: ribosomal RNA, 750 nt
Filed under: uncultured bacterium
Lineage: Bacteria
Description: bacterial SSU rRNA
Rfam family: Bacterial small subunit ribosomal RNA
Source: RNAcentral
AAUCAACGCUGGCGGCGUGCCUCAGACAUGCAAGUCGAACGAUUAAGACUUCCUUCGGGAAGUGCAUAAAGUGGCGCACGGGUGAGUAACACGCAAGUAAUCUACCCUCGAGUGGGGAAUAACGUUCGGAAACGGACGCUAAUACCGCAUAACGCAGCGGCACCGCAAGGUGACAGUUGUUAAAGGAGCAAUCCGCUUGAGGAGGAGCUUGCGGCAGAUUAGCUAGUUGGUAGGGUAAUGGCUUACCAAGGCUACGAUCUGUAUCCGGUCUAAGAGGACGGUCGGACACACUGACACUGAAUAACGGGUCAGACUCCUACGGGAGGCAGCAGUCGGGAAUUUUGGGCAAUGGGCGAAAGCCUGACCCAGCAACGCCGCGUGAAGGAUGAAGUAUUUCGGUAUGUAAACUUCGAAAGAAUAGGAAGAAUAAAUGACGGUACUAUUUAUAAGCUCCGGCUAACUACGUGCCAGCAGCCGCGGUAAUACGUAGGGAGCAAGCGUUGUUCGGAUUUACUGGGCGUAAAGGGCGCGUAGGCGGCGCGGUAAGUCACUUGUGAAAUCUCUGAGCUUAACUCAGAACGGCCAAGUGAUACUGCAGUGCUAGAGUGCAGAAAGGGCAAUCGGAAUUCUUGGUGUAGCGGUGAAAUGCGUAGAUAUCAAGAGGAACACCUGAGGCGAAGGCGGGUUGCUAGGCUGACACUGACGCUGAGGCGCGAAAGCCAGGGGAGCAAACGGGAUUAGAUACCCCGG